AAAAGCUCCUAGGAUUUCAAGUAUUCAACGCGCUAUCCCUACAUAAGUGGAUUUGAAAAAACGUUUCAACUUUGCAAAAUAACCCCUGCGUAUUUAGAAUUCCGUCUGCGCUCCUUUCUUCGUUCUAUCCAGGGCAAAGAAGGUGGAAGAGGGGCAACUUCGGCUGGGCGGCCGGACUCGCGAUUGUUGUCCCACAUCGCUCCUUUCAACUGAUUCAUAUCAAUUUAUGUACAAAUGAAGAUUAUCUGUAAUAUCAAUCAGCCUCCUCAAAAAAAACAAUAGGAGCAAAUAUGGAUCUCGGGCGAGGGAAUGAGGAGGGAUCCAGCAGCAGCGCACCGGCGCUCUGGAUCUGGUCUGGAACGGGGCGGCGGAGGGGUUGUCAUGCAGUAGAGGACAUGCCCGACGGUGGCGCUCCGGUAACCUGGGAGCAGAGAAGGCCAGACGAGGCAGCGACUUGCUGUCACUGGAGCAGGCGAGGCGUCGUCAUGGCGCGUUAUGAAGGUGACCAGCCGGAGGUGGAGCGCGAGAGGCGGCGGCGCUCCGGCAGCCUGGGAGCAAAGAAGGCCGGACGAGAGGCAGCGACUUCCUAGCGCCGGAGGAGGCGAGGCGUCGCCAUGGCGCGGUAUGACGGCGACCUGCCGGAGGUGGAGCGAGAGAGGCGGCGGCGCUCCGGCAGCCUGGGAGCAGAGAAGGCCGGAGGAGGUGAGGCGUCGCCAUGGCGCGGUAUGAAGGCGACCCGCCGGAGGUGGAGCGAGAGAGAUUAGGCGGCGCGUUGGAUGCGGGUCUGCAGAUGGUGCAUGGAGGGGGGAUCCCGCAAGUGUGUGCAGCUUUGGGUGAGGAGUGGGCAGGGCCGUGGGGAUCCCGUCGGUGGCAGGCAACAAGAUAAGGCUAUGAGGAAUUAUGAGUCCGCUGGAGAAGCACAAUGAGGUGUGUCGCUUCUUCU
RNAcentral lists this long non-coding RNA (943 nucleotides) under Hordeum vulgare. RNAcentral's name for it is "long non-coding RNA (HVUL_LNC010263)". Lineage: Eukaryota; Viridiplantae; Streptophyta; Magnoliopsida; Poales; Poaceae. The record is from RNAcentral.